This 31-nucleotide non-coding RNA is filed under the name Mus musculus (house mouse). The record is from RNAcentral. Lineage: Eukaryota; Metazoa; Chordata; Mammalia; Rodentia; Muridae.
UGAUGGUAUCGUGGCCUAAUUCCCAAGCGUC